This 67-nucleotide transfer RNA is filed under the name Xylosandrus germanus. Its description in RNAcentral is "tRNA-Pro". It matches the Rfam family "tRNA". From Rfam's summary of the family: Transfer RNA (tRNA) molecules are approximately 80 nucleotides in length. The record is from RNAcentral. Lineage: Eukaryota; Metazoa; Arthropoda; Insecta; Coleoptera; Curculionidae.
CAGAAAGUAGUUUAUUUUAAAAUAUUAGUUUUGGAGACUAAAGACGGAAGUUUAAUUUUUUUUCUGA